This 72-nucleotide transfer RNA is filed under the name Paracoccus aminovorans. RNAcentral's name for it is "tRNA-Met". Lineage: Bacteria; Pseudomonadati; Pseudomonadota; Alphaproteobacteria; Rhodobacterales; Paracoccaceae. The record is from RNAcentral.
AGUGGGGCGAAAAGUGGUGUGAACAAACUCAUAACCUGAAGGCCGCAGGUUCAAAUCCUGCCCCCGCAACCA